UUUACAAAAAUAGAUUUUUAUUAUUACAAUAAUUUAAAAGAAGAUUUAUUUUAUUAGUUCUCAACAGACAAUAUUGUAAUAGGAAUUAACAGUAAUGGAUCUAUGGGAACAAGGAUUAUCAUGGCUGUGUUUCCUAGUGCAGGUGGUAGGUCCACUUCAUCUAUCUUCAUUUUUAAAAGCUAUCUUAAAAUGACAGCAGAAGUAUAUUUUAGUGUUUGAAGGAGGUAAUUACUCAGUGAAGCUUCCAAAGAUGAAAAGUCAGAAGGAAUAAUUCUUCAAUCUGUGUUUGCUUUGAAAAGCUGAACCCCUACUUGAAGAUCACCCAGCCAAAGGGAAGAUGGUGAAGCACAGCGGUCAGAGCCAAGCACUCUGCUGUGUACUGGCUUGGACAUUUUCUGGGUUCCAGGUUAUCAAUGGCAACACAUAAAAAUAUUCCCUGAAUGGAGGAGCACUUCAGUUUGAGUGGACCCAAUCUUGGAAGUACUUGUACAUAUUUAUUGUCACAACAGCUUAAAUAAAACACACAUUUGAACAAAUGCAAGAUCAAUCCAGCAAUCUGCAGCCUGUCCCUGCUUCAAUCAAAAUUAAUUAGUUUUGUCAUCAAUGAGAAUAAGAAAGCUCUUAGAAUACUGUAACCUUCCCUAUAUUAAAAAAAAAAAAAAAUCCAGAUCAAAACCAUUGCAUAUUCUUACAAUUUUGUGGAGCCCUAACACAGCUCAGUUUCUAAUGCACUGUCUUAACAAAACUGUGACUAAGCAAGUCUAAUAUGAAUUGAUGUAAAUCCUUAAUUUGGAAGGCUUUAGAUUCAAGGAGCAUCUCUUAAUUUUCUGCAAUUGUUGUUUGCAUUAAUCUGUUUUAAACAAAAAUAGAAGUGCGAUAUAUUAAUAGUAUCAAAUGAUUUGAGUAUCAAACAAUUUGAGUUUCUGAAAUGGACUAAGCCAAUCCACCUGGGUACCUAAUUACAUAUAUACUUUUACUGUAUCCCAAGUUACAAGGUUACAAUAAAUUCAUAUAAUUAUCCCACAAUAUAAAAAUUAUUAUGGAUCCUAAUCCUACAGGGAUUUCAUUUGGCCUACUAGGAGUUUCCAUAUCCCUCAGAAAUUCAGGUGGCCAACUCCAGUACAUUCAUCCUUCAUUCCUUGUUACUUCAGAAUCAGGAUACCUGGCAAAUAUUUUGGAAAGUAGCAUUUGAGUACUCCUUAAGACACCUUCACAGAGUCUGAUUCUUCAUCGGGAAUGUACCUAACACUCAAAAUCUGAGCUCUCCUGUGACUCAAGCUGAGUUCUCAGUGCUAAGACUUCAGAAAUCUUUUUUUCUUCUUUCCCUUGAUUAAUUUUGCUGUCUGAAAUACAAAACUUCAUCAUUGUGCUUACAUGACUGCAUUAAGUCUAUUAAGUACAAUUCAGUCAUCUCUAAAACUGUUUCAUCUAUUGGAAAGUAUAGAUCUUCUCCAAAUAAAAUAUUCUAAAUUGUAAGACAGUGCUGAAAACUGUCUUACGUGUAUCUUGCCCAUAAUCUCAAAAUAUAAAAGCCAAAGCAGUAAAAGGGUACCAGUAAGUCUUUCAGUCCAUUCUUGCAAGCUGAUACUCCCUCUGCACUUUUAUUUUCUCCAUUUAACUAAAGGUGAAGCUUUCCAUAAAAGCAGCUAAAUUCAUUCAUUAAAUGAUUGAGAAUCCUUUUUGCUUGCUAUGGGAAUAGCAAGACUUAAGCGCCUGAGGUGAUAUACAAUAAGGCAAAAUAAUGCUCACUGGAUAGCAGUAGUACACAGAGAUUCCCACACCACAUUCUGGAUAUCUAUUUCUGAGAGCUCUAAAAGUUUCUCUAUCCUAUGAUUUAAUCCAGCACAAAUUUCAGGUUUAAUCUCUGUGAACCUCGGCUGCAUUCAGUCUCUGAGUAAGACUGACAACUUUUUCUACCCUUCUAUGAAAAUAAUCUGAAAAUUGAAGACAUUAAAGAAAGUGAAACCAGGUUCAGCAGUAUAGCAGAAGCUAUUGUGUGUAGCAACUGCCCUAACUUUUCUCAUCCUUUGUUUCCUGACAGGUUAUUUUCUAUUACAUCUCUGUAAGCAUUUUGAGUCAUUUCAUCUUCACACCUCACUUUUCAAACUAUGGGAAGUAGAAAUUCAGAUAAAAGCUUUAGAACAAUUUAUAUUUACCCUUGAUCAGCAACACUACCUGCCCCUCCUGCCCUUGAUUGUAAUAGUGUUGUCAUUUUUGUCAUCAGUACAAGCAAUUAUGCAAUACAGAAAAUACCUGAUGGGAGUUUACUUUCAGUUGCACAAUUUGCAACAUACAUAAUCACUUUUUUUUUUCUUUUUGCAGUGCUUUGCACUAGGUCUUCGUUAAUCACUAGAGGACCUUGGCAUUGCUGUGGUGAAAUACCUUGUGUUGAGCACUCAGAUAUCAGUGAGAAUCACAAGGAGGUGUUUUCUGUUUGCUGUCACCAUCAAGUCUAUCUUAAGUGCAGGGCACCAGCCUGACCUAGGAAUCAUAGGAAUCACUGCAGUCAGUGAACCUAAAGAAACUUAUUGACUAGAUAUUAUGAUCCUGGCUUAAGGCAUCUUAAGGAAUCAGAGAGGCACUAAAUAGUCAUUGCAAGGCACCACUUGUAUUUUCUUCUUUAAAAAAAAACAAAAAAAACCAAAAAAAAA
Taeniopygia guttata (zebra finch) is the source of this 2651-nucleotide long non-coding RNA. The record is from Ensembl. Lineage: Eukaryota; Metazoa; Chordata; Aves; Passeriformes; Estrildidae.